CUGCAGGAUUUAGCAGCACUAGCCAUGUAAUCAAUUCAGCUGCUCUUCAUCAGAGUUAAGACGAUGUUACAUAGAGGUCAGGAAGUCGGGAAGUUCAUAUUAAAAAGACAAAUGCAGGAAAACAGAGUGAGGCAGGUCCGGGAAGAGAAGCUGAUAGCUCAAAAGGCUUCAAUUAAAUAUAUAGAAACCAGGUCUAAUAGUCAAAAUAUACUGUAAUGACGAUGUUACCGUCUACUACAGUAGGGGGCGACUUGCACCUUUAGUCUAACCACAGUAAACCUAAAGACGAGGAAGUAAAGUUGCCCAUGAGCAGUCACGUAAUUUCCUGCAACCUGUGGAGGUAACUGUCGCGGAGGUCCGUCUGCAUCUGUUUUUGUUUUCUCACAGCGGAAAAAGUAAAUAAAAAUAUGAUGAAGGAUGCAUCCAUCCAUAAUUAAGACUGGAUGCCAGUUAAAGAGUACAACUGGGAACGGUUUACAGCUGGGCUGCCCUCUGUGUUCCAAAUUCACCACCACACGUGCAAGGACCAUGUGCAGACAUCUGGAGUCCCACAUCAAAAAUGCAGUUUAUUUCCAAGAUACAAACAUUUGCAGAUGCAACCUGCCUUGCCGAGACACGGGUCAUUACCACUGCCCGCACUGUGAGAAAACAAUCAUGCGCAAAGAGGAUAUGACAUUACCCGUAACUGGAUGUCGAAACACAUGUGAUACAGUGCCACCUUCGGCAGAAAUCGGGGCACCAUCGUCAUCAUCCUUUUUCACUCCCUGUGCUCCCCAGCAGAGGUCAGCGCAGCCUCCUUUGUAACCUUCCCACAUCAGCUGGAGAGGACUCUGUAAUGUCAGACCAUUGUUGCACACUUGUUGACACUCCGCCAUCCUGUCAGCCAAACUCGGCUCCCCCUCCAGACGCCUGUAAACCACCUGCCGAGGCGGCACAGUCUGAAGCCACAGAGCUGAUCUCUUCACGUGUGAUGUAUUUAAAGUCAGUGAAGUGCCCUCACUGCGCCGUCGUUCUCUACAAAAAGAACUUAUUGGUCCACAUACAAAGAAAACAUUAAAGCUGCAUCUCAUAGUAAAAGCAAAGGUGUUAGUAAAGCUUAUGGCCUCUUUGACUUCCCGAAAGGCAUUCAUGUGUGACUUGGACGACUGAGCUGCCUCAAAACAACAGUGGAUCAUUGACAGUAUGUGGAGAAAAACACAGUAGAAAAUUUGCUGACACAUAUGUAUUCCACACUGAAUUGAUUAUAUUUUGGUCUUUAUAUUAUAAUUUCUUGUUUAGAGGGAAUUCAACAUAUUUUUUUGCACUUUAUUAAAUGAGCUUUGUUUGGUUCACAGUUCCAUAUGUGUUUAGGUCUCCUCUGCCUCCAUGUAACCUCUUCUGAUUGGUUGCCUAUCACAAGCAUAAGGCUUGAACAGCAGAUGGAUGGAGCUUCUUUGUGGCUGAGAUGAUCAUAUUUGGGAUAUCCACUCUCACUGGCAUCAUACAGAUCCAAAAGUUUAGAAGAUUGCCUGAAACUGAGUGUUCAAGUGAAUUAUUCAGUGGUCAAAGAUCACAACAUUUUGACAAUACCUGAAAUAUUUAUGUACCAAGUCUUAUAAAAUUUCACUUAAAAGGGAAACCAGGUUAAAUGUGUCAAUAUUCAGAAUAGAGAAAAAAAAAUCUGGAAAGUUUUCAGCUUUACGUCUCAGGAACAGGUGGUCAAAUUUUGAGAGUGUGUUGGUUUAGGCCGAGGCAGAAGUCCUAAAAAAACUAACUCUGUGGAGCAGAGCAGGCCCAUGCAUAUCUUUGUAGUUGCAAUCAUGUAUUUGCAGUUUCCCUUUCAAAGCAGGAGAGCCACAAUACAAGGGGCAUCAAGAUGAUCAGUAUUUUAUUUAUUUUAAAGUGAGUGAGGGAAUGAAUUUGCAGUGUGUAGCAUUUCUGUCAGAAAUCGGUCCAUAAUGAACACAGGUGCAGUAAUUGCACUCUGCAGUAAGCCACUUUCAUUUAGUUUUUUUCUUCUUCUCUCAUCUGAAAUUUGACUGUUAUUUUAUGAAACCUUUAUUAAAUCUUUUUCAAACUGCCACAAUUACUGGGACUUGGAACAAUCGGAAGUUUCUAAGAUGAAUUUUUGAAUCUUCCAGUAUAUAAGUCUGACUUUAAUAAAUGCCUAUAUUUCAGAGGCUAUACUCCUUCACUUUUACUUGUCUAAUAAAGUUGAAUCGUUGAUUCAACUCUUGCCAAAGUAUCUGUACGUCUGCUAAAGUGACAAGUGUGUUUACUUGUGCCAUUAAUUAUUUUUUGAUAUUAAUAGUUCUUUAUGUAAUUCCCUCUGGGAUUAAUAAAGUGUUCUGAUUCUGAUUAUUUACUGUUGGAACAGCAGCAUCCUGUGGGUUGUGGAUUAUACGAGUCAGACAUUUUUCUCAGCCACUUUCAGC
Long non-coding RNA from Haplochromis burtoni (Burton's mouthbrooder), 2414 nucleotides. RefSeq lists it as uncharacterized. The transcript has 3 exons. NCBI's taxonomy places the organism in Eukaryota, Metazoa, Chordata, Actinopteri, Cichliformes, Cichlidae. The record is from RefSeq and is a predicted model, not a curated record.